Molecule: small nucleolar RNA, 134 nt
Filed under: Dasypus novemcinctus (nine-banded armadillo)
Lineage: Eukaryota; Metazoa; Chordata; Mammalia; Cingulata; Dasypodidae
Description: Small nucleolar RNA SNORA70 (ENSDNOG00000034675.1)
Rfam family: Small nucleolar RNA SNORA70
About the family: snoRNA U70 seems to be exclusive to mammals and is a member of the H/ACA class of snoRNA which contain H (ANANNA) and ACA box motifs. H/ACA box snoRNAs are involved in the conversion of uridines to pseudouridines (5-ribosyluracil) a constituent of structural RNAs (transfer, ribosomal, small nuclear, and small nucleolar).
Source: RNAcentral
CUGCAGCCAGUUAAGCUGACCAUCUCCCUCUCCCCAUGGGGGCUUGGUGUUCAGCAGCUGCAAAUGGCAGCCGCGUUGGUAAUAUACACACCUGUUGCUUGUACGGGUUUCUCUACGGGACCUUGGAGACAGCC